This 460-nucleotide ribosomal RNA is filed under the name uncultured Bacteroidota bacterium. RNAcentral's name for it is "bacterial SSU rRNA". It matches the Rfam family "Bacterial small subunit ribosomal RNA", at positions 338 to 795 of the family's 1533-position model. The record is from RNAcentral. Lineage: Bacteria; Pseudomonadati; Bacteroidota.
CCUACGGGGGGCUGCAGUGAGGAAUAUUGGUCAAUGGGCGCAAGCCUGAACCAGCCAUCCCGCGUGAAGGAAGAAUGCGCUACGCGUUGUAAACUUCUUUUCCAGGGGGAGAAUAAUCCUGUCGUGACAGGACUUGACGGUACUCUGGGAAUAAGCAUCGGCUAACUCCGUGCCAGCAGCCGCGGUAAUACGGAGGAUGCGAGCGUUAUCCGGAUUUAUUGGGUUUAAAGGGUGCGUAGGCGGAUUGAUAAGUCAGUGGUGAAAUUCUACAGCUUAACUGUAGACUUGCCGUUGAUACUGUUAGUCUUGAGUGUGGUCAAGGCAGGCGGAAUGUGUAAUGUAGCGGUGAAAUGCUUAGAUAUUACACAGAACACCGAUUGCGAAGGCAGCUUGCUGGGUCAUUACUGACGCUGAUGCACGAAAGCGUGGGGAUCAAACAGGAUUAGAUACCCUGGUAGUC